AUCCAGCUGAUGAGUCCCAAAUAAGAUAAAACACGCGUCUUGGAU
This is a non-coding RNA of Schistosoma mattheei, 45 nucleotides long. Lineage: Eukaryota; Metazoa; Platyhelminthes; Trematoda; Strigeidida; Schistosomatidae. The record is from Rfam.